RNAcentral lists this transfer RNA (88 nucleotides) under Chthoniobacterales bacterium. RNAcentral's name for it is "tRNA-Ser". It matches the Rfam family "tRNA". Rfam says of the family: Transfer RNA (tRNA) molecules are approximately 80 nucleotides in length. Lineage: Bacteria; Pseudomonadati; Verrucomicrobiota; Spartobacteria; Chthoniobacterales. The record is from RNAcentral.
GGAAGGGUGGCUGAGUUGGUUUAAGGCACUCGACUCGAAAUCGAACGUGGGGUCAUUCCCACCGUGGGUUCGAAUCCCACCCCUUCCG